RNAcentral lists this ribosomal RNA (641 nucleotides) under uncultured bacterium. Its description in RNAcentral is "bacterial SSU rRNA". The stretch from base 1 to 542 matches the Rfam family "Bacterial small subunit ribosomal RNA", at positions 338 to 873 of the family's 1533-position model. The record is from RNAcentral.
CCUACGGGAGGCAGCAGUAAGGAAUAUUGGUCAAUGGGCGCAAGCCUGAACCAGCCAUGCCGCGUGCAGGAAGACGGCCCUACGGGUUGUAAACUGCUUUUGUACCGGAAUAAACCCUUUUACGUGUAAGAGGCUGAAUGUACGGUAAGAAUAAGGAUCGGCUAACUCCGUGCCAGCAGCCGCGGUAAUACGGAGGAUCCAAGCGUUAUCCGGAUUUAUUGGGUUUAAAGGGUGCGUAGGUGGCUUUUUAAGUCAGGGGUGAAAGACGGUAGCUUAACUAUCGCAGUGCCUUUGAUACUGAAGAGCUUGAAUGAACUAGAGGUAGGCGGAAUGUGACAAGUAGCGGUGAAAUGCAUAGAUAUGUCACAGAACACCAAUUUGCGAAGGCAGCUUUACUAUGGUUUUAAUUGACACUGAGGCACGAAAGCGUUGGGGAUCAAACAGGAUUAGAUACCCUGGUAGUCCACGCCCUAAACGAUANAUACUACAUGUGUCGAUAUACGUACGAGCGUCGUACGACGAACGACGUUAAGUUAGUUACUACCGUCGGGUAGGUACGCCGCCGACGGUAGGUAAACGUUAAACUUAAGUAAGUUAGUACGGCGUGAGACGUGCCGACGGACGACGACGAGGGAGGUAGG